ACUGACUUAAGAGGCGUUUUACCCUCCUCCAGCCCCGUGCCUGCAUCCUUGGUUGUUCCAGUGUAUCAGACAGCCACACACCCACCUGUCCCACCUCCCAUGCUACAGCAGAUUGCACAGGAUUGCAUCCAGAGUCCUUCACAUCAGGAGUACACAACACAAAUACCAUAGGAGAAGCCAUCCAGUCAGCUGCUGCUAUCAAGGAGCAAAUCUUACCAAGACUGGCACUAAUAUCUUCCUUUGGGGACAGAGAAGGGAACAUAGAAAUACUGGUUUUCAAAUAAUCACAUGGUAGUUGUUUCCACAUGAAGCAUUUUGGAAGUAAGUAUUUAAUUGCAAUUCAGAUGAAGAUAAACAGCAAAUUUAGGUCUUUUUUAUACCUGAAAACCAUCAGGUAUAUAUACUUAUGGAAUACCAAGAAUAUAUAGAGCCUAAGUGUAUGGAAACUUAUAAAAGUAACUGUAAUGAUAGUUCACAAUAUGAUAAUUACUUACUGGUAACCUUGCCAAGGAAACUAUAUGCUUUUUUUCAGGAAAAAUAUGAGGCAACAGCAAUUAGUAUAGACUUUUACUCCAUAUGUACAAAGAAUUAGUGCAGAGCAGAAAGUAAACCUCAUUUUUAUAUCAUUUAAUUAUUUCUAUAUUGCUCAUUUCUAUAACCCAUUUCUUCUUCUUAUGUAUAAGGAACAGACAACAUUUUUCAUAAAUUUAACUGAAUGGCUGAAGGUACUGAAACUUCUGUGAAGACUGAUUUUAUUCUAAAGGUUGGUCAUUGAAAACAAGCAAGCUUGCCUUUUGUUGGGAGCUGCUGUUCCUGAAUCAUUCUCCUCAUACCUUGGCACCGCUCCAACUUCCUUGUAACCUUUGUUCCCUGCUUACCUGAGCGACAGUAGUGACUGCAAACUAAGAAACAUUGCUAAACCUACUUUGGGUCACCCAAAGUUUUUGGGCAUUACCCCAAUAUCCAUGGCUAUUAUGAGGACCUAGAUCUAAGUGAGUAAAAAUAAAGGUUAUAACUACUGACUAACAAAGUUGAAUUGUGGCUUAAUGAUCAAAACAGAACCAUAAGUUUAUGGAACAUGCACACACAUGUAAUUUUUCAAGAAGGAAGCAGGUUAAGACGUUACCUUCUGAGUCUUGAUUUCACAAUGGAGGUCAUGCAAGAUUGCUAGUGGAGAUUCAUCUUCAUAGUCUUCAAGAUGAAUGUUCACAUAAAAGAGUUUAGAAAGUAAAAGAGGUGUCUUAGUGUCUUAGCAUGAAAAUAACAUUCUACAUGGGAAUGCAAUCUCCUGUAUUAGCAGAAGAGAGGCUGGCCAUGAGCUGUCAGUGUGCUCCCACAGCCCAGAAAGCCAAUGGUGUCCUGGGCUGCAUCCACUGGUGGGCAGCAGGGCCAGGAAGGGGAUUUUGCCCCUCUGCUCUGCUCAGCCCCCACCUGCAGGGCUGCAUCAGCUCUCCAGCACAUGUGCUCUCCAGCACAGGGAGAACAGGGACCUGUUGGAGCAAGUACAGAGGAGGGACACCAGGAUGAUUAGAGGGAUGGAGCUCCUCUCCUGCAAGGAAAGGCUGAGAGAAGUGGGAUUGUUCAGCCUGGAAGAGAGGCUGCUCCAGGAUGAACUAAUUGCAGCCUUCCAGUACCUGAAGGGAGCUUCCAGUACCUGAAAGAUGGAGAAAGACUUUUUUUACAAAGGCAUGUAGUGACAGGGCAAGGGGGAAUGGAUUCAGAGAAAGAGAGAGAAGAUUUAGAUUAGAUAUUAGGAGGAAGUUCUUUGCUGUGAGAAUGAUGAGGCUCUGGAACAGGUUGCUCAGAGAAGCUGUGGAUGCCCCAUCUCUGGAAGUGUCCAUGCUCAGGUUGGAUGGGGCUCUGAGCAACUUGGUCUAGUGGAAGGUGUCCCUGCCCAUGGCAGGGGGUUGGAACUAGGUGAUCUUUAAGUUCUAGUCCAAUUCAAACCAUUUUAUGCUUCUAUAAUAUUAGAGAUGUUGGAAGUAUACAUUAAAGAAAGAGAGUCAAUAUAGACAAAAUCAAAGAGAACUAGUUCCUAUGAGGUACCUCACACAGCAAAAAACUGCUCUUUGUACAGUGUGUUAAACUCCACAGAGAAACUGCCUGGGCUUCCACUUGAACUUUGCAGCUAAUACUGUUGUCCUAGGGUGACGUUAUGGUGCUUGUACCCCCAGUCGUGUGUUCUGUUUAUGAUUUUAUGUUCUGUGCCUUCAGGACUGACUCCGAAAGUGAAGGAUUGUUUUGUCUUGUUAUCAGCCGGCUCACCUCCCCCCAUGCUCUGUGUCUAGGAGAGGCUGGGCUUGCUUGCUUGCUUUUGCUUAUUAGUUAGUUUAGCUAGGCAGUCCAAUUUUUACCCUGGACUGUUUCUUUUUCCCUUCCCUGAAUAUCAUCUGAACCUGCUCUGGAGCUGGACCUGGGAAACACCAAGAAACACCGAGAGCCUGCAUUUUGUGACCUGCAGCAGCCAUCCCCAGCGCAGGAGACCGAGAACUGGGCGACCACUCCCAGGAGAGAUUUUUCUGAAUUUGUCAUCUCUUCAGAGUGGUGAAAGAGUUUUGUCAUCUGGUGUUGUUUUUUGUAUUGGGGAGUGUUUUGCUUAUUAAAUAAAUAGGUUUUUUUCCCCACUUCUCUCUGAGGAAAUUCUUCCCGAACCAG
Molecule: long non-coding RNA, 2655 nt
Organism: Vidua chalybeata
Lineage: Eukaryota; Metazoa; Chordata; Aves; Passeriformes; Viduidae
Exons: 3
Source: RefSeq, a predicted model, not a curated record